Molecule: long non-coding RNA, 327 nt
Organism: Arachis duranensis
Lineage: Eukaryota; Viridiplantae; Streptophyta; Magnoliopsida; Fabales; Fabaceae
Exons: 3
Source: RefSeq, a predicted model, not a curated record
UUGUUUACUGCUUCAUGAUUUAUUUUGCUGCCUUCUUGAAUUUGUUUGCUAUUGUUUACUGCUUCAUGAUUUAUUUUGCUGCUUUCAUGUUCACUAUGGAGGAAAACAAGAAGAUAGGAAUGCUAACUACACUGAUAUGGUUAACAAAUACUAUGAUCUUGCUACGAGCUUUUAUGAGUUUGGGUGGGGAGAAUCUUUCUAUUUUGCACACAGAUGGAAUGGUGAGUCUCUUCGAGAAAGCAUCAAACGUCGCGAGCAUUUCCUCUCCUUUUGCUCUUUUCUGCUCUGCCUUUACUGCUUGACAAAAAUUGGUUAAAUGAAUUUUUC